GACGAACGCUGGCGGCGUGCUUAACACAUGCAAGUCGAGCGGUAAGGCCCUUCGGGGUACACGAGCGGCGAACGGGUGAGUAACACGUGAGCAACCUGCCCCUGACUCCGGGAUAAGCGGUGGAAACGCCGUCUAAUACCGGAUAUGACCUGCCACCUCAUGGUGGCGGGUGGAAAGUUUUAUCGGUCAGGGAUGGGCUCGCGGCCUAUCAGCUUGUUGGUGGGGUAACGGCCUACCAAGGCGAUUACGGGUAGCCGGCCUGAGAGGGCGACCGGCCACACUGGGACUGAGACACGGCCCAGACUCCUGCGGGAGGCAGCAGUGGGGAAUAUUGCACAAUGGGCGAAAGCCUGAUGCAGCGACGCCGCGUGGGGGAUGACGGCCUUCGGGUUGUAAACCUCUUUUACCACCAACGCAGGCUCCGGGUUCUCUCGGGGUUGACGGUAGGUGGGGAAUAAGGACCGGCUAACUACGUGCCAGCAGCCGCGGUAAUACGUAGGGUCCGAGCGUUGUCCGGAAUUAUUGGGCGUAAAGAGCUCGUAGGCGGCAUGUCGCGUCUGCUGUGAAAGACCGGGGCUUAACUCCGGUUCUGCAGUGGAUACGGGCAUGCUAGAGGUAGGUAGGGGAAACUGGAAUUCCUGGUGUAGCGGUGAAAUGCGCAGAUAUCAGGAGGAACACCGGUGGCGAAGGCGGGUUUCUGGGCCUUACCUGACGCUGAGGAGCGAAAGCAUGGGGAGCGAACAGGAUUAGAUACCCUGGUAGUCCAUGCCGUAACGUUGGGCGCUAGGUGUGGGGACUUUCCACGGUUUCCGCGCCGUAGCUAACGCAUUAAGCGCCCCGCCUGGGGAGUACGGCCGCAAGGCUAAAACUCAAAGGAAUUGACGGGGGCCCGCACAAGCGGCGGAGCAUGUUGCUUAAUUCGACGCAACGCGAAGAACCUUACCAAGGUUUGACAUCACCCGUGGACCUGUAGAGAUACAGGGUCAUUUAGUUGGUGGGUGACAGGUGGUGCAUGGCUGUCGUCAGCUCGUGUCGUGAGAUGUUGGGUUAAGUCCCGCAACGAGCGCAACCCUUGUUCUAUGUUGCCAGCACGUAAUGGUGGGGACUCAUAGGAGACUGCCGGGGUCAACUCGGAGGAAGGUGGGGACGACGUCAAGUCAUCAUGCCCCUUAUGUCUUGGGCUGCAAACAUGCUACAAUGGCCGGUACAAUGGGCGUGCGAUACCGUAA
Molecule: ribosomal RNA, 1229 nt
Filed under: Nocardiopsis exhalans
Lineage: Bacteria; Bacillati; Actinomycetota; Actinomycetes; Streptosporangiales; Nocardiopsidaceae
Description: bacterial SSU rRNA
Rfam family: Bacterial small subunit ribosomal RNA
Source: RNAcentral